RNAcentral lists this ribosomal RNA (496 nucleotides) under uncultured bacterium. RNAcentral's name for it is "partial 16S ribosomal RNA". It matches the Rfam family "Bacterial small subunit ribosomal RNA", at positions 29 to 507 of the family's 1533-position model. The record is from RNAcentral.
AUGAACGCUGGCGGCGUGCCUAAUACAUGCAAGUCGAGCGAACGGACGAGAAGCUUGCUUCUCUGAUGUUAGCGGCGGACGGGUGAGUAACACGUGGAUAACCUACCUAUAAGACUGGGAUAACUUCGGGAAACCGGAGCUAAUACCGGAUAAUAUUUUGAACCGCAUGGUUCAAAAGUGAAAGACGGUCUUGCUGUCACUUAUAGAUGGAUCCGCGCUGCAUUAGCUAGUUGGUAAGGUAACGGCUUACCAAGGCAACGAUGCAUAGCCGACCUGAGAGGGUGAUCGGCCACACGGGAACUGAGACACGGUCCAGACUCCUACGGGAGGCAGCAGUAGGGAAUCUUCCGCAAUGGGCGAAAGCCUGACGGAGCAACGCCGCGUGAGUGAUGAAGGUCUUCGGAUCGUAAAACUCUGUUAUUAGGGAAGAACAUAUGUGUAAGUAACUGUGCACAUCUUGACGGUACCUAAUCAGAAAGCCACGGCUAACUACGUG